Molecule: ribosomal RNA, 1016 nt
Filed under: uncultured bacterium
Lineage: Bacteria
Description: bacterial SSU rRNA
Rfam family: Bacterial small subunit ribosomal RNA
Source: RNAcentral
AGGAAUAUUGGUCAAUGGACGAGAGUCUGAACCAGCCAAGUAGCGUGAAGGAUGACUGCCCUAUGGGUUGUAAACUUCUUUUAUACGGGAAUAAAGUGAGGCACGUGUGCCUUUUUGUAUGUACCGUAUGAAUAAGGAUCGGCUAACUCCAUGCCAGCAGCCGCGGUAAUACGGAGGAUCCGAGCGUUAUCCGGAUUUAUUGGGUUUAAAGGGAGCGUAGGCGGACGCUUAAGUCAGUUGUGAAAGUUUGCGGCUCAACCGUAAAAUUGCAGUUGAUACUGGGUGUCUUGAGUACAGUAGAGGCAGGCGGAAUUCGUGGUGUAGCGGUGAAAUGCUUAGAUAUCACGAAGAACUCCGAUUGCGAAGGCAGCCUGCUGGACUGUAACUGACGCUGAUGCUCGAAAGUGUGGGUAUCAAACAGGAUUAGAUACCCUGGUAGUCCACACAGUAAACGAUGAAUACUCGCUGUUUGCGAUAUACAGUAAGCGGCCAAGCGAAAGCGUUAAGUAUUCCACCUGGGGAGUACGCCGGCAACGGUGAAACUCAAAGGAAUUGACGGGGGCCCGCACAAGCGGAGGAACAUGUGGUUUAAUUCGAUGAUACGCGAGGAACCUUACCCGGGCUUGAAUUGCAACUGAAUGAUGUGGAGACAUGUCAGCCGCAAGGCAGUUGUGAAGGUGCUGCAUGGUUGUCGUCAGCUCGUGCCGUGAGGUGUCGGCUUAAGUGCCAUAACGAGCGCAACCCUUAUCGAUAGUUACCAUCAGGUUAUGCUGGGGACUCUGUCGAGACUGCCGUCGUAAGAUGUGAGGAAGGUGGGGAUGACGUCAAAUCAGCACGGCCCUUACGUCCGGGGCUACACACGUGUUACAAUGGGGGGUACAGAAGGCAGCUACACGGCGACGUGAUGCUAAUCCCUAAAGCCUCUCUCAGUUCGGAUUGGAGUCUGCAACCCGACUCCAUGAAGCUGGAUUCGCUAGUAAUCGCGCAUCAGCCACGGCGCGGUGAAUACGUUCCCG